UAAGGAAUAUUGGUCAAUGGGCGCAAGCCUGAACCAGCCAUGCCGCGUGAAGGAAGAAGGCCCUAUGGGUUGUAAACUUCUUUUGUACGGGAAAAAACCUCUGGUCGAGCAUCAGAGCUGAUGGUACCGUAAGAAUAAGCAUCGGCUAACUCCGUGCCAGCAGCCGCGGUAAUACGGAGGAUGCAAGCGUUAUCCGGAUGCAUUGGGUUUAAAGGGUGCGCAGGCGGAGGGAUAAGUCAGUGGUGAAAGCCUACAGCUUAACUGUAGAACUGCCAUUGAUACUGUCAUUCUUGAGUAUUGUUGAGGUAGGCGGAAUGUGUCAUGUAGCGGUGAAAUGCUUAGAUAUGACACAGAACACCGAUCGCGAAGGCAGCUUACCAAGCAAUAACUGACGCUCAUGCACGAAAGCGUGGGGAUCAAACA
This 423-nucleotide ribosomal RNA is filed under the name uncultured prokaryote. Its description in RNAcentral is "bacterial SSU rRNA". It matches the Rfam family "Bacterial small subunit ribosomal RNA", at positions 355 to 774 of the family's 1533-position model. The record is from RNAcentral.